Molecule: ribosomal RNA, 1411 nt
Filed under: human gut metagenome
Description: bacterial LSU rRNA
Rfam family: Bacterial large subunit ribosomal RNA
Source: RNAcentral
AGGUGAAGCCUGGAGGGAACUUCUGGUGGAUUGUGUGGGAGUGAGAAUGCAGGCAUGAGUAACGAAUCUGCGGUGAGAAUCCGCAGCGCCGAUUGACUAAGGGUUCCAGGGCUAGGUUUAUCCGCCCUGGGUUAGUCGGGUCCUAAGGCGAGGCCGACAGGCGUAGUCGAUGGACAACCAGUUGAUAUUCUGGUACCGCGUUAUGACCGCCCAUGCUGAAGUCAUUGUGCUAACCAAUUUGCUCACGCCCCCACAUGACCUUCGGGUCGCGUGGUGUGUGUGGGUCUUGGGGCCCCGGUGAUUGUAGGCAAGCGUGUUAACAGGGGUGACGCAGACAGGUAGCUGCAGUGCGCCGAUGGUUGUGCGUAUUUAAGGUUGUGGCCCGCCCUUCAGGUAAAUCCGGGGGGCAUAGUGGGUGAGGACUGAUGAGGGACACACGCGUGUGUGGACUUGUGGUGAUCCUAUGCUGCCGAGAAAAGCCUCGACGUGAGGGCAUGACGCGCCCGUACCCUAAACCGACUCAGGUGGUCAGGUAGAGUAUACCGAGGCGUUCGAGUGAAUCGUGGUUAAGGAACUCGGCAAAAUUCCUCCGUAACUUCGGGAUAAGGAGGACCCCGUGACUUCCCCGCGCCGCGCGCGCUGGUGGGGUUGUGGGGUCGCAGAGAAUAGGGAGAAGCGACUGUUUAUCAAAAACACAGGUGCGUGCGAAGCCGUAAGGCGAUGUAUACGCACUGACGCCUGCCCGGUGCUGGAAGGUUAAGAGGAACCGUUAACAUUCUUUGUGGGUGUGAAGCGGUGAAUUUAAGCCCCAGUAAACGGCGGUGGUAACUAUAACCAUCCUAAGGUAGCGAAAUUCCUUGUCGGGUAAGUUCCGACCUGCACGAAUGGCGUAACGACUUCCCCACUGUCUCGACCAGGAGCUCGGUGAAAUUGCAGUACGAGUAAAGAUGCUCGUUUCGCGCAGAAGGACGGAAAGACCCCGGGACCUUUACUAUAGCUUGGUAUUGGUGUUCGCUUGGACUUGUGUAGGAUAGGUGGGAGACUGUGAAGCUGCCGCGCCAGCGGUGGUGGAGUCGUCGUUGAAAUACCAUUCUGGUUCAAGCGGUCACCUCAACCUUGGCCCGUGAUCCGGGUUGGGGACAGUGCCUGGUGGGUAGUUUAACUGGGGCGGUUGCCUCCUAAAAUGUAACGGAGGCGCUCAAAGGUUCCCUCAGCCUGGUUGGUAAUCAGGUGGCGAGUGCAAGUGUACAAGGGAGCUUGACUGUGAGACCGACGGGUCGAGCAGGUGCGAAAGCAGGAACUAGUGAUCCGGCCAUGGCACGUGGGUGCGUGGUCGCUCAACGGAUAAAAGGUACCCCGGGGAUAACAGGCUGAUCUUGCCCAAGAGUCCACAUCGACGGCAAGGUUUGGC